AGAGGGGAAGGGUCUGAGGACACUAAGGGGGAGAGAGACCAUUAGCAGGAAGUGCAAGCAAAAAGACGGAGCUGCUUUUCAGAGGCUGGGUCUCGGUGCUUCAGAGAAUGCUCCUGGAUGAGGUCAUCCUAUGUCCUCCAAUUUACAGUACUAAAACCCUAUUUUCUUACUCUAGUUACAGAUUUGCCAGUUGUACAGUCCAGGAACAUCUUCCUCAAUGACUUGGGACCUUUGAAAUGUAAUCAUCAAUAUUGGAGGAACCAGGCUAAAUAAUAUCCCUGAAAGGAAGAACCACUGGAACAGAAAAGGGUCCUCUAAUUUUAAGCCCGGGGUGCAAAGCAUGGAUUUAAUUCAUCCAUAGGAGCAAAGAGAAAGAAUCAUCAAUGCCUCUCUGAGCCUUGUAGACAAUGAAUAUGAAGAAUCAGAUUGAUGAUGGAAAUUCCCUCAAAUGAUCCACGCACCUCCUGUGAGCACGAGGACCCUGUUUCCCUCUGCACAGCUUCACCUCGGAAUGGUUCCUAUAUACUUUUCCCGUCUGCUAUAAUUCUCUGAGAGAAGUAGCAGUGGCGAGAGGACGAGGAAUGAGGGGAAGUACGAAAAGGCUAAGCACGAAGGAAGGAGGAAGAAUGCUAAUUGUCCGUGAUGCUAGGGAAUUAUUUCACAGAAUGCAGUGAACUUAUCCAUGAGAUUGCUUGUCCUACACGUGCUUUAUGUGGGUAGAAAGUUAAAUAUUAUUUUGCAUGAACAGCAUUGUGGUACUAGUCAGAUUGCUUUGAUGAUUUAUUCUCGACUUGGCCAACAUAGCCUGGCACGUGAGAAACUGUCCUCUCAGCAGCCAUAAAUUUUCUAAAAGUUUCAUUUCAUUUUAGGGAGAAAAUUAAGUGUCCACUCCAACAGUAAUAAGAAAGAAUAAAUCCCAUUUUAGGCACAUAUUUCUUGCUGUGAGCUUAUAAAUACAAUCUUUACCAGCCUGUUUCUCUCUUUAUGGUGAAUUAAUUUUGAGUCGCGGCUUUGAGGUAUGCGGAGUAGGCACAGGUCCAUAGAAAGAAAAGCAAAAAAAAGGAUAUGUCUCAGAGACAGUUUCUUUUCCUAAGAUCGCCCACAUGUGUACGUCCUGGCCGAUAUCCGGCGGUGCUUAUUAGCAGAUUGGUAGGCUGGGGCCGCAUCGACGAUCCUGCGCUUAAACUGCAACGGCCUUAUGGGGACCGUUGGCCUUGUCCUCGGGCUCCUGGCAGCCCAGGGCAAACUUUUAUUUCCAGGCAUCUGCUCGCCCCUUAAUUCGUGAUUAUCAUUCCGGGGGCAGCCAGGGCCGGGAGCAGCGGCUCUAAAUCCCCACUUCGGACAAGCAUCUAAAUGAUGAAACCUCAUCGGUGACUGACGGCUCCGCAGAAGGGUGAUUUCUGGCGGUGUCACAUCCUUCGCCUGUGAUUGAGGAGACACAAACCAGCAGCAUUUCGCUGCAAUAACCAACAUAAUGAAUUGUCCUAUUGUAUUUUCCUUUUCUUUGUUUCCUUCUCAAUUUUGGGAACGCUUCAGUCUGGACCCCUAGAGGCAGUUUUUCUCUUAUUAACAAUAGCACGGACAGUCACACAAAUUAGGCUGUAAUAUUGGAUUAUCCCUCAUUUUAUUAGGCAUGAAGAUAUUACAUAAAGUGGGCUUAAAUGCCGAGAAUUUAAGGCCACGUUUAACUCCUGAGAACUGCAUGACACUGGCAAUGUUUCUAUUACAUUUCAAAGUUCUUUUUUUAAAUUUUUGUUUCUGUUUGUUUUUUAAAUUUCAAGAUUUAAAACUUCAGUGGCAGCAUUGUAAAAUCUGUUUGCAUGCACCGAGGGGUCAGUGCUCCUGGGUCCCUUGCUUGCUGUAUGUCAGGCAGGUCAUCUUGAGGAGUUCGGAGGGUUUGGGUAACGGACGCCAAACAUAAUGAUGCUGUUGAUGGCCCAGGUGAGGCCCGGCGGCCCCUCCACGGACCUGGAGGGGAGGCCUCCUGGAAAUGGUCCCCAGGUGCCCACCGUCCUGAUGGCCAGUGACGCCACCAGAGCCAGCGCAUCUGUGGACACAGGGUCCGGCCCAGGCCCGGCCUCUCUGAGUGUCACCGCGCAACAGCUUGGGCCUCAGGACGCCGGAGGCAGAGACGCCAGUGACGGUCGACAAGCCAAGGAAGGACCAUGGUAUCACCGACCCAGGACUGGGGCAACCUGCGACACUCUAUACAGAGUCACGGAGGUGUGUGACCUAGCAGAAUGGUUAAAAUGAAAAACAAAUGGAAACCGGCCUAGGAAAACUCUGGAGCAGAUAAAACCAGUUUCAUCCAACAAACAAAGCUUAAUUUAGUCUGUUUUCCAGACUGACUUGAUCUGGGUCAGUGUUGCCUCUGCCUCUGGAAAACGUGAGAAAAUUUCAAACUGUUUCUGAGACUGAUUUCAGGUAACCAUUAAUCAAUUCUUUAUCGUUUAAGAAAAUUCUAAUAUUAUAAGCUCUGAGCUCUCCUGUCUUGCGUUCCUGCCUGUGAACACAGCGUGCACCAAACCCCCAAAGAACCGGCCUGUGGCUCGCUACAGUCGGUGUGUCUCAAAUUCCGAAUCCUAUUCUGUUCCCCAAGAAACUUCUCUUUUUUGACGACUUGGAGUUUGCCUCUGUUUAUGUCAUUAUUUAGGUUGACAGGAUGAAAAGUAAAAUAGACACUAACUUUUCCUUUUUUUUUUUU
This is a long non-coding RNA of Canis lupus familiaris (dog), 2704 nucleotides long. RefSeq lists it as uncharacterized. The transcript has 6 exons. Lineage: Eukaryota; Metazoa; Chordata; Mammalia; Carnivora; Canidae. The record is from RefSeq and is a predicted model, not a curated record.